AGGGCAGAGGGCAGAGGUCAGAGGCCGCGGGGAGGAACCCCCCUGUUGCUUCCGCCUCCCGGGGCGCAGGCGCUGGGCGCGGCGGGGAAGGGACUCGGCACUGGGGAAACCCGGAGUUUCAGCCAGGGUCCCAGGGCUUCCUUCCCGGGUUCCUGCCGGAAAACUUUUCUCCUCCGCCCGGAAGCCUCGAUGGGGCAGUGAGAUCGCGGGGCGAGGUGGGAGUGUGGGAGGGGGCCGCGGGCAGAGAGCGGGAGUCCGGCUGGGUGGGAGAUCUCCUGAGCCGAAGCUGGGUCUCGCCCCAGCGUGGCGCCACCGACCCGCAGGCUUUUCCUGCUCUGCAGAUGGAGAGACACAGGGACGCUCCUCAGGUGGCUGCCCUGGGCUGCCAGCCUGUCAGUGGGAGGGGAGGGUGCAGACAAGAGGCCCCUGUUUCCGAAACCCCUCUGUCCCCAAAGCUGCGACAGCAGAAGACACUUAGGCGGCCUGAGGGGUUGGUGAACCACAGAGGAGCUCAGCUUCGCCUGGUCUCCAGCUCCCGGUGGCGGUGGCGUGUCCUUAAUGCUGCUGGCUUUGAACUGGACUGAGAACUAUUUACCACACAAACACCACCAUUUCAAUCCCGGAGAAUGCCUGUUUUCCCUAGGGUGACCUGGCCGGGGUAACAAACACUUGUUCUCUAAUUCCACGGUCAGCCUUGACUUAAUUGAGGUACUUGAUUUCCAACUUCCUGUCUUGCUGCCACAGAUAAUCACUGAUGAAACCAAACAGGCAACACCUUUUGGUGGCCUGUGGAGAGCGCUGCCCCGUCUGGGUCUUAGGAAGGCAAUUGAAUAUGAAUGUUCUCCCGAGUGCUUGUGGAAAAGAGAUGGUGUUGGCCACUUUUUAGACGAAGAGAAAUGAGUACUAGUGAACACUAAUCAUAGUGACUAAACAGUAAACGGCUCCCAUUUGUUGUCGGCUAAAGCACUGAUUCUUCAUUUUCCAUCCCAGCCUGUCCUGCUCUGGCCUGCCCUGUGCUCAGGAAGCUGGCGGUCCCCCUCAGUGGAUCUUCACCCACAGGGACAACCUGCUGCAGACCGGGUAGGAGGGAGGCAGGGGCCUCUUCCCCUCUCCUUCCUGGCCUGGCCCCACACCCACCAGUGUUGGUUUCACUCUGUGGCUACGAUUCUUCCUGGGUGCCCUUUCCAUUGCACAACUCCUCUAGGCUCUACGAACAGAACUUCUCCCCGCCCCCAAGCCUCUUAGGGUGAGACAUGUUGUCGGUCUGCCAUUGUUGCUGGUCCCUAAAUAGCAGCACCCUUUGAAGGAUCCUUGAACCAUGACCACACCGCAACAAAGAGUCCUUCAUCAAACUCGCUUCCAAAUCCCCUCCCAAGAACACCUUCAGUUUCCUGCAAGAACCCUGACUGCUGAAGCCGGAUUUUGACUAAGCUUCUACCUUGUAAACCGUGACUGUGGGAUUGGGGUCGAGGCGCAAUCAGAGGUUGUAUAAGGCACUAGAUCAAGGCUGCCUGUCUGUCAGGAGUGUCUGCUUUAUUCAGUAGUAAAUGUGAAUUGUUUUUCAUUCUGUUGUGAAUACUGUUGGUUGACAAUGCAGCAGCCAUGCCCUCUCUAUCCUUGCUGGUUCAGGUAUCCACUCUGUGUGGCUAAGGGUAAACUCUGUCUCUUGAGAAAAUCUUGGUAACUCCAUUUCUCUUUCCAACAAUUGGCUUCAAACAAGCUCAAGUCAAUGAGUCCCAACAGGAAGCCUGCUGGGGGUUGUCUGGCAAAGGUUUUCUCACUCCUACAGGAACAUAAAGAGGAAAUGCUCCUUUUUCCCUGGUGAAUGUUGCAUUCCCUGUCUGGAUGCAAUGCCUGGUGCUCCGCAGCCCUUUGCACUUAUAAGAGAAGGUGGCCGGAAGAGCAUCUUCACCCUGGGGUGGCCGCCUGGGAAGAUGAGAAGAGCAGGAGUCCUUGGUGGCACAACCAGGCAAUUCACCAAAAUCCUGCUGCCCUCACCUGGAAUUUCCUGCUAUGAGAGACGUCUCCGUUUAAACCACAUGAGCUGGAUUUUCUGUUUCUAACACAUGUCAGCAUCUUCACGGUAAAUCUAAGAAAAAAAAAUCAGGGCUAUUAAAAAACAAAGUCCAACUCACCCUGUGCUAUGGUCUGAAGGUGUCCUCCCAAAUUCACACGUGGAAACCUAAUCCCAAAUACCUGAUACCUAAUCCCAAAUAUUAAGAGGUGGGGGCCUUGGGAGGUGGUUAGGAAUGGGAUUAGUGCCCUUUAAAACUGAGGUUUUUGGGAGCCUGCUUGCCCUUUCUGCCAUAUGAAGAUGCUUAGAAGAGGCCUUCUAUGAAGCAGAGAACUUUUCUCAGAUGCCAGAUCUGCUGGGACCUUGAUCUUGGAUUUCUCAGCCUUCAGAACUGUGGGAAGCAAACUUCUGUGUGUAUGAAUAGCCAUCUAAAGGAUUUUGUUACAGCAGCCUGAGCAGACUAAGACACCCUGUGAGUCAGUUAUUUUUGGCUGUGUCACGAGUGACCGCGAGUGCAGGAGCUGAAACGGCAGUGAGUGGGUUACCAUUUCUCAGGACCCUGCGGAAUUGGUGCGAUGGUGCUUCUGCUCCACCUGUUGUUGGCUGGGAUUGUCCUGCAGCUGCAUUCUUCUGGGGGUCAGCUGGGGCUGGAAGCUUCCUGUGGUCUAGUCACACAGCUGGGGUCUCAGCUAGGGUGAUAGAACACUGGGGGCAGGCCGGCCUUGCUGUCUCUCUCUGGCUUCUCAUCAUUCAGUGGUCUAGCCUGAGUUUUUUACAUGGCAGCUCAGGAGGGUCAAUGUGGACGCUAUACAGCCUGUAAGGCCCGGGUUUGGAAGUCCAAGAAUAUGACUUCUACCAUGUUCUACUGGUGAAUAUAAAUUCCAAGGCCAGCCUAGAUUCAAGGGAUAAGAACGUAGAUUUCACUCCUUGAUGGGAGGAUCCCAUGUACAGACAGGGAUCCUUAUGAGGGAUUAUGAGAACUCCUAAUCCUUAUGAGGGAUUAUCAUACAGAGAAUUUAUGGGGGAUUAUCUUUGGAAAUAAUCUACCAUAGACUGAAUAAAUGAUAAUGUAAUGUG
Molecule: long non-coding RNA, 3091 nt
Organism: Homo sapiens (human)
Lineage: Eukaryota; Metazoa; Chordata; Mammalia; Primates; Hominidae
Source: Ensembl